UUAUGUCUCGAUUUGCUAAGAAAACUUGAUGUCCCGAUCUGCCUGACUCUACCUUUGACUCUUCCUCACAACAACAAAUACGCCACCGGAAAUACGUCACCAUAGGGUGGGGUGCUAAUCUGUCUGCAUGCAGCGCCAUGACAUUUACCCAGGAAUUAUGGGAACAUAAUAAACUCUUAAUCAAAGAGGCAAUGACUUCUGCACAGAAUGGAGAGAGAUGCAUCCGAGUCUGGGUCCUGCCUCUGACUAACCAAUGACUGACAGCCAGCAGUCUCUCUGCCGUAACCAUGGUGACACCUGGUCUCUCAUGGACUCAACACUUGGAGACUUUAAUUGGAGUUUACUGAACUGAAUCAGAGUUCCUAGAAUUAGAGUGGCUUGAAUAGAUGAUAAAUUUAAAGAGAGAAUGAGAGAGGAAAAUAAAAGAUUUGAAUGGGUUUACAAGGCAAGAAAGUUUGAGUGUGUGUUUAAUGGCCACAGAAGAGGAUAAUGGAAAACCUGAGGUCAUGAGUGUUGUCAUGGCGAUAAUGAUGGAGGGAAAAGAUCAAAAGAUAUCUGGCAUGGUGGUGUGGCAUUCUGCGCUCGUGAUGAUUGGUUGAUUGUGCAUUGUAAUAUCUGCUGGUUUGUCACGGCAAACACAUUCGUUAAUAUUUAAAGAUGAUAAUGUGCCAAAGCAGUGAGCAGUGCAUGCUGGGUAACACAGAAAGCAUGGGCCACAGGGCUUCUCCUGGUUUGAGGUGGCAGGCAGCGCUGGAUUAAACCCCCUCCAUUCCUUCCAGAUCUUUCUUUCCUUCUGUAAACUGUUGUUUAGUUAUAUCUGGAUUUUGGUUUGCUAUGCAAAUUGUACAGUGGCCCAGUAGUGCACAAUAAAAUCUCCACAAGACAACAAAAUCUUCACCACACAACAGAAUUAGCACAACACACAGAAACAAGCCACAGAAACAAAAUAAGCACAACACAUUGAAAUUAACACAACACACAGAAACA
Carassius auratus (goldfish) is the source of this 987-nucleotide long non-coding RNA. RefSeq lists it as uncharacterized. NCBI's taxonomy places the organism in Eukaryota, Metazoa, Chordata, Actinopteri, Cypriniformes, Cyprinidae. The transcript is spliced from 3 exons. The record is from RefSeq and is a predicted model, not a curated record.